GAAUAUUGGGCAAUGGCCGAGAGGCUGACCCAGCCAUGCCGCGUGCAGGAAGAAGGCCUUCUGGGUUGUAAACUGCUUUUAUAGAGGAAGAAAAUACCCUUGCGAGGGGAACUGACGGUACUAUAUGAAUAAGCACCGGCUAACCCCGUGCCAGCAGCCGCGGUAAUACGGAGGGUGCAAGCGUUGUCCGGAUUUAUUGGGUUUAAAGGGUGCGUAGGCGGCCCAUUAAGUCAGUGGUGAAAUCCAACAGCUCAACUGUUGAACUGCCAUUGAUACUGGUGGGCUUGAGUAAAGUCGAGGCAGGCGGAACUGGUGGUGUAGCGGUGAAAUGCAUAGAUACCACCAAGAACCCCGAUUGCGAAGGCAGCUUGCUGGGCUUUAACUGACGCUGAGGCACGAAAGCGUGGGGAGCGAACAGG
Molecule: ribosomal RNA, 419 nt
Filed under: uncultured bacterium
Lineage: Bacteria
Description: bacterial SSU rRNA
Rfam family: Bacterial small subunit ribosomal RNA
Source: RNAcentral